Molecule: transfer RNA, 90 nt
Filed under: Enterobacter cloacae subsp. cloacae
Lineage: Bacteria; Pseudomonadati; Pseudomonadota; Gammaproteobacteria; Enterobacterales; Enterobacteriaceae
Description: tRNA-Leu
Rfam family: tRNA
About the family: Transfer RNA (tRNA) molecules are approximately 80 nucleotides in length.
Source: RNAcentral
GCGAAGGUGGCGGAAUUGGUAGACGCGCUAGCUUCAGGUGUUGAGUGUUCUAACGGACGGACGUGGGGGUUCAAGUCCCCCCUCGCACCA